This is a long non-coding RNA of Papaver somniferum (opium poppy), 1286 nucleotides long. RefSeq lists it as uncharacterized. The transcript is spliced from 5 exons. The record is from RefSeq and is a predicted model, not a curated record. NCBI's taxonomy places the organism in Eukaryota, Viridiplantae, Streptophyta, Magnoliopsida, Ranunculales, Papaveraceae.
UUCUUCUUUUUGUUCUCCUUCUCCAUCUCUUUGUUCAUCAGAAAAACCUCUGCAUAAUCAGUUGACGAAAUCAAUCGCUUCCUCAGUCUCUCGGAAAAUCUUAAGUGAACAUUUUCUCCAAACAAGGUAAGGAUAAAUCACUCUACAACUCAAGGUUAUUUUCCAGGCGAGAGUUAAUUACUCUCCAACUUAAGCUUUAAUUAGGAUUUUGCUUUAAUUAUAUUAUGUUUUAGUAUUCAUUUUUUUAGAUAAAUAGAACCCUGUAGAUUAAAUAUCCAGAUUGGUAUUCUUUAUAUUUAUGAUUUUGCAGUGGGUGAUCAUAAAAGAACCAUGAGGUUCUUUUAAGAAAUCGAGUGACGAAAAACAGAAACACGCGGUAACAUGGUUGGCCCAAACUAAUCAGUAACACAGGUUCUUUUGUUAAUAUUUGUUCCCAAUGCAAAUUAGGGAUCUCAAAUUUGCAGAUCAAAAAUCUGGAACAUGCAUUGUGACGGGAAACACCAAUUGUUGGUCCAACUACAAGGGAGCUUAAUGACUUAGAUUCAAACAGAUUGACACUUACAGAUACCGUGAGCACCCCAUGUCACACCCAGGCAUCACACACAGGCCCGAGAUGAGGUUAAUAGCGUGACACAAGUUGGUAAUCUUUUUUCGAAUUUUAAUGGUUUGGUUGACUUUGUUAAAUAUAGCAAUUCUGCUUUUGGAUUAAAGCUCACAGUGGCUCUCCGCAAUACCCUACUUCUGAUCUUAUUACUAAAGCUGAAGUUAGAUAUUCCUGUUUGGGUAUCUGACUAUAGUCUGUUCUUGAGAGACAGAUUGUCCAGGGAACUCUUAAGAAGAAAACAUUGGAGUGGGCUUUUGCAGUUCGAUAAGAUUCCAUAAGAAAUCAAGAUUUUGGUGGUGUGAACCAUUCUCAUCAAGUCUGAGUACUACCAUACUAAGCACCAUCUCAGAUACUCAAUGAAGCAAACAGUGAUAGAGGGCUCAUGGGUAUUUUGCGGGUUGCCAGUCUUUUGUCCAAAUAAUCCAUUAUUCCGAGGGUUUUGUAUAUCAACAUGGUAAGAUGUGUACAUCUAUUUUAUGUGGUCAUCCCUCUCAUGCAGAUAACCAUCAUGUAUUAUGCAAGUAUUAACGUGUAUAUGCAUUCAUGCAACUCCUGCACAAUAUUUGAGUGUCUUACUUUUACCUUUUCCUUUUUUCUAAUCUAGCCAUUUGAGUUAUAUGAUGUAGUCGUAGCUAACAGAGAUAUAGCUAGGCAUACUCUUCAUGUACAUCCACUGAGUGAA